ACGAUUUGUUCUUUGUAGGUAAUAGGAAUUGCUGCACAGACACGACUAUUACGAUAAUGAUGCGGGCACUGUUUGUGGCAACAAUACUGUUGUUUCUGUUCACACCAGGUGCUGUCGGCGCUCAAGGUGGGUGCAAUUGUGCGAUGCUGUUAGCCCCGGUGUGUGGGGUUGACGGGAAAACCUACGGAAACUGGUGCGUUCUCAACUGCGCAGGCGUAAGGAUGAAGCAUAGAGGAUCGUGUAGAUACGGGCAAUAAAGAAGAAGAGCAACCAGCAAGUUACGAAUUUACAGAAAAAAACUAGAAUGAAGAAACUUUAAUUAUAAUUUAAUUUGCAUAUUGUCUUAAAUAUUUUCUAUUAAUCUUACUAUGUCUCGUAAUAAAGGAUAACCAUUAAGCAUUUUUA
Dreissena polymorpha is the source of this 405-nucleotide long non-coding RNA. RefSeq lists it as uncharacterized. The transcript has 4 exons. The record is from RefSeq and is a predicted model, not a curated record. NCBI's taxonomy places the organism in Eukaryota, Metazoa, Mollusca, Bivalvia, Myida, Dreissenidae.